UGAGGAAUAUUGGUCAAUGGGCGAGAGCCUGAACCAGCCAAAUCGCGUGAAGGAUGAAGGUAUUAUGUAUUGUAAACUUCUUUUACAGGGGAAUAAAGUGCGGGACGUGUCCCGUUUUGUAUGUACCCUGAGAAUAAGGAUCGGCUAACUCCGUGCCAGCAGCCGCGGUAAUACGGAGGAUCCAAGCGUUAUCCGGAUUUAUUGGGUUUAAAGGGUGCGUAGGCGGGGAAUCAAGUCAGCGGUGAAAGUUUGCGGCUCAACCGUAAAAUUGCCGUUGAAACUGGUUCUCUUGAGUGUAGAUGAGGUGGGUGGAAUUCGUGGUGUAGCGGUGAAAUGCUUAGAUAUCACGAGGAACUCCGAUUGCGAAGGCAGCUUACUAAGCUACUACUGACGCUCAGGCACGAAGGCGUGGGGAUCAAACAGG
Molecule: ribosomal RNA, 424 nt
Filed under: uncultured prokaryote
Also listed under: 1 other name
Description: bacterial SSU rRNA
Rfam family: Bacterial small subunit ribosomal RNA
Source: RNAcentral